Molecule: ribosomal RNA, 864 nt
Filed under: uncultured bacterium
Lineage: Bacteria
Description: bacterial SSU rRNA
Rfam family: Bacterial small subunit ribosomal RNA
Source: RNAcentral
GAUGAACGCUAGCGGGAGGCCUAACACAUGCAAGUCGAACGGGAUUGGGAGCUUGCUCCCAUGAGAGUGGCGCACGGGUGAGUAACGCGUAUGCAACCUACCUUUAACUGAGGGAUAGCCCAUAGAAAUGUGGAUUAAUACCUCAUAGUUCUAUUAGAUCGCAUGAUUUGAUAGAUAAAGCUCCGGCGGUUAAAGAUGGGCAUGCGUGACAUUAGUUUGUUGGUGAGGUAACGGCUCACCAAGACUACGAUGUCUAGGGGUUCUGAGAGGAUGAUCCCCCACACUGGUACUGAGACACGGACCAGACUCCUACGGGAGGCAGCAGUGAGGAAUAUUGGUCAAUGGGCGCAAGCCUGAACCAGCCAUCCCGCGUGAAGGAUGAAGGCCCUAUGGGUCGUAAACUUCUUUUAUACACCAAGAAAAACACCCACGUGUGGGUGCCCGACGGUAGUGUAUGAAUAAGCAUCGGCUAACUCCGUGCCAGCAGCCGCGGUAAUACGGAGGAUGCAAGCGUUAUCCGGAUUCAUUGGGUCUAAAGGGUGCGUAGGCGGCUUUUUAAGUCAGUGGUGAAAUCUUGCCGCUUAACGGUAAAAUUGCCAUUGAUACUGAUAAGCUUGAGUACAAUUGAGGUAAGCGGAAUGUGUAGUGUAGCGGUGAAAUGCUUAGAUAUUACACAGAACACCGAUUGCGAAGGCAGCUUACUAAACUGUUACUGACGCUGAUGCACGAAAGCGUGGGGAGCGAACAGGAUUAGAUACCCUGGUAGUCCACGCCGUAAACGAUGAUCACUCGCUAUGCGAUACACAGUAUGCGGCCAAGCGAAAGCAUUAAGUGAUCCACCUGGGGAGUACGAUCGCAAGGUUG